GGGGUAUUAGUCUAAUAUAAGACAGUUGAUUUCGACUCACCUAAUUAUGGCUCAUACCCAUAAUACCCCU
Molecule: transfer RNA, 70 nt
Filed under: Rana chaochiaoensis
Lineage: Eukaryota; Metazoa; Chordata; Amphibia; Anura; Ranidae
Also listed under: 1 other name
Description: tRNA-Arg
Rfam family: tRNA
About the family: Transfer RNA (tRNA) molecules are approximately 80 nucleotides in length. Their secondary structure includes four short double-helical elements and three loops (D, anti-codon, and T loops). Further hydrogen bonds mediate the characteristic L-shaped molecular structure. tRNAs have two regions of fundamental functional importance: the anti-codon, which is responsible for specific mRNA codon recognition, and the 3' end, to which the tRNAs corresponding amino acid is attached (by aminoacyl-tRNA synthetases). tRNAs cope with the degeneracy of the genetic code in two manners: having more than one tRNA (with a specific anti-codon) for a particular amino acid; and 'wobble' base-pairing, i.e. permitting non-standard base-pairing at the 3rd anti-codon position.
Source: RNAcentral